This 506-nucleotide ribosomal RNA is filed under the name uncultured bacterium. Its description in RNAcentral is "partial 16S ribosomal RNA". It matches the Rfam family "Bacterial small subunit ribosomal RNA", at positions 30 to 523 of the family's 1533-position model. The record is from RNAcentral.
AUUGAACGCUGGCGGCAUGCCUUACACAUGCAAGUCGAACGGCAGCAUGGAAGAGCUUGCUCUUCUGAUGGCGAGUGGCGAACGGGUGAGUAAAGCAUCGGAACGUACCGUGUAAUGGGGGAUAACGUAGCGAAAGUUACGCUAAUACCGCAUACGACCUGAGGGUGAAAGCAGGGGAUCGCAAGACCUUGCGUUAUACGAGCGGCCGAUGUCAGAUUAGCUAGUUGGUGAGGUAAAGGCUCACCAAGGCGACGAUCUGUAGCGGGUCUGAGAGGAUGAUCCGCCACACUGGGACUGAGACACGGCCCAGACUCCUACGGGAGGCAGCAGUGGGGAAUUUUGGACAAUGGGGGCAACCCUGAUCCAGCCAUGCCGCGUGAGUGAAGAAGGCCUUCGGGUUGUAAAGCUCUUUCGGCCGGGAAGAAAUCGCACAGGCUAAUACUCUGUGUGGAUGACGGUACCGGCAUAAGAAGCACCGGCUAACUACGUGCCAGCAGCCGCCGUAA